GGGUGACUGCGUACCUUUUGUAUAAUGGGUCAGCGACUUAUAUUCUGUAGCAAGGUUAACCGUAUAGGGGAGCCGCAGGGAAACCGAGUCUUAACUGGGCGUUAAGUUGCAGGGUAUAGACCCGAAACCCGGUGAUCUAGCCAUGGGCAGGUUGAAGGUUGGGUAACACUAACUGGAGGACCGAACCGACUAAUGUUGAAAAAUUAGCGGAUGACUUGUGGCUGGGGGUGAAAGGCCAAUCAAACCGGGAGAUAGCUGGUUCUCCCCGAAAGCUAUUUAGGUAGCGCCUCGUGAAUUCAUCUUCGGGGGUAGAGCACUGUUUCGGCUAGGGGGUCAUCCCGACUUACCAACCCGAUGCAAACUACGAAUACCGAAGAAUGUUAUCACGGGAGACACACGGCGGGUGCUAACGUCCGUCGUGAAGAGGGAAACAACCCAGACCGCCAGCUAAGGUCCCAAAGUCAUGGUUAAGUGGGAAACGAUGUGGGAAGGCCCAGACAGCCAGGAUGUUGGCUUAGAAGCAGCCAUCAUUUAAAGAAAGCGUAAUAGCUCACUGGUCGAGUCGGCCUGCGCGGAAGAUGUAACGGGGCUAAACCAUGCACCGAAGCUGCGGCAGCGACACUAUGUGUUGUUGGGUAGGGGAGCGUUCUGUAAGCCGUUGAAGGUGGCCUGUGAGGGUUGCUGGAGGUAUCAGAAGUGCGAAUGCUGACAUAAGUAACGAUAAUGCGGGUGAAAAACCCGCACGCCGGAAGACCAAGGGUUCCUGUCCAACGUUAAUCGGGGCAGGGUGAGUCGACCCCUAAGGCGAGGCCGAAAGGCGUAGUCGAUGGGAAACAGGUUAAUAUUCCUGUACUCGGUGUUACUGCGAAGGGGGGACGGAGAAGGCUAUGUUGGCCGGGCGACGGUUGUCCCGGUUUAAGCGUGUAGGUGUGUGUUCCAGGUAAAUCCGGUUCACUUUAACACUGAGGCGUGAUGACGAGGCACUACGGUGCUGAAGUGACAAAUGCCCUGCUUCCAGGAAAAGCCUCUAAGCAUCAGGUAACAUCAAAUCGUACCCCAAACCGACACAGGUGGUCAGGUAGAGAAUACCAAGGCGCUUGAGAGAACUCGGGUGAAGGAACUAGGCAAAAUGGUGCCGUAACUUCGGGAGAAGGCACGCUGAUGGUAAGUGAAGCGACUUGCUCGUGGAGCUGAAAUCAGUCGAAGAUACCAGCUGGCUGCAACUGUUUAUUAAAAACACAGCACUGUGCAAACACGAAAGUGGACGUAUACGGUGUGACGCCUGCCCGGUGCCGGAAGGUUAAUUGAUGGGGUUAUCCUCGCGGAGAAGCUCUUGAUCGAAGCCCCGGUAAACGGCGGCCGUAACUAUAACGGUCCUAAGGUAGCGAAAUUCCUUGUCGGGUAAGUUCCGACCUGCACGAAUGGCGUAAUGAUGGCCAGGCUGUCUCCACCCGAGACUCAGUGAAAUUGAACUCGCUGUGAAGAUGCAGUGUACCCGCGGCAAGACGGAAAGACCCCGUGAACCUUUACUAUAGCUUGACACUGAACACUGGUCCUUGAUGUGUAGGAUAGGUGGGAGGCUUUGAAGUGUGGACGCCAGUCUGCAUGGAGCCAUCCUUGAAAUACCACCCUUUAAUGGCUGGUGUUCUAACGUGGGCCCCUAAUCGGGGUUGCGGACAGUGUCUGGUGGGUAGUUUGACUGGGGCGGUCUCCUCCUAAAGAGUAACGGAGGAGCACGAAGGUCAGCUAAUCCUGGUCGGACAUCAGGAGGUUAGUGCAAUGGCAUAAGCUGGCUUGACUGCGAGCGUGACGGCGCGAGCAGGUGCGAAAGCAGGUCAUAGUGAUCCGGUGGUUCUGAAUGGAAGGGCCAUCGCUCAACGGAUAAAAGGUACUCCGGGGAUAACAGGCUGAUACCGCCCAAGAGUUCAUAUCGACGGCGGUGUUUGGCACCUCGAUGUCGGCUCAUCACAUCCUGGGGCUGAAGUAGGUCCCAAGGGUAUGGCUGUUCGCCAUUUAAAGUGGUACGCGAGCUGGGUUUAGAACGUCGUGAGACAGUUCGGUCCCUAUCUGCCGUGGGCGCUGGAGAAUUGAGGGGGGCUGCUCCUAGUACGAGAGGACCGGAGUGGACGCAUCACUGGUGUUCGGGUUGUCAUGCCAAUGGCAUUGCCCGGUAGCUAAAUGCGGAAGAGAUAAGUGCUGAAAGCAUCUAAGCACGAAACUUGCCCCGAGAUGAGUUCUCCCUGACCCUUUAAGGGUCCUGAAGGAACGUUGAAGACGACGACGUUGAUAGGCCGGGUGUGUAAGCGCAGCGAUGCGUUGAGCUAACCGGUACUAAUGAACCGUGAGGCUUAACCUU
This 2356-nucleotide ribosomal RNA is filed under the name Klebsiella michiganensis. Its description in RNAcentral is "partial 23S ribosomal RNA". It matches the Rfam family "Bacterial large subunit ribosomal RNA", at positions 591 to 2925 of the family's 2925-position model. Lineage: Bacteria; Pseudomonadati; Pseudomonadota; Gammaproteobacteria; Enterobacterales; Enterobacteriaceae. The record is from RNAcentral.